Non-coding RNA from Peromyscus maniculatus bairdii (prairie deer mouse), 475 nucleotides. The record is from RefSeq and is a predicted model, not a curated record. NCBI's taxonomy places the organism in Eukaryota, Metazoa, Chordata, Mammalia, Rodentia, Cricetidae.
GAUCUGCAAGGAUCAGCCUCAAGGAUUAAUCUCCUCAUUUGAAAAGAGGUCUCUAGGAAGAUUAAGUGACUCUCCUAUGAUCCGAGCAUGGCUGCGCUGCAGCAGGCUACAGAGCUGUCUGCCUCUGGAAGGACGCUGGGCCCUAGCCUGUGCCUCCUUGAACCACAGCAAAGACAGAGCCAUCAGUUCCACCCUGCUGGAGACCACCAGAAGAUGCGAUGUGGUAAGCUGCCUGGAGCUCCAGCCACCAUGACUGCCCUCUUCUUCCUUGAGCUGUUUCUGUUAUAGCAACAAAGGAUCUGAUGCUCUCUUCUGGUUUCGGUGAGCACCAGACACACAAAUGGGUUAUGUACACAAUAAGGAUUACAAGGGAGAGAAGACUGUGACCUGUCAAGCUGCCUGGGUAGUUAGUAUGCAGGGAGCUCCAGCAAUGCAGCUUUCAUGAGUUGUCACUCAUGCUGAGGUGGGCUUUUCA